GGGGGGGCGUUCAUCAUAAAUAUAGCUUUUUGUCUUGUAGCCUUUUUUAAAUUUAGUCCAUUUAGAAAGACAGAAGGAAAAAGUAAAAGCAACAGACAAACAAACAACAAACAACAGUCACCAUGACGACGGCAAUAUAACAUUUUUGUUCCUUAUUUCAUCCUUAACGUAUCUGUGUAAACUGAAUGUGACAGGCUGGACACACCUUUCUUUACCUCUCCAUGCGUCCACAGGCACACAUUGCAAUGACUUGUGGGUAGUUUCCUCGGGCGAGGUCAGCGUCUAAUGCCGAUUCAUGGAAAGAGCUCAGACAAAGCUUAACGCACCUUAGACAGAGGAACUGAACUCAUGGGAGCGCCUCAAAUCCCAGAGUCCGUCGGGGCGGAGGCUGGGAUCGGGCCUCCAUGGGGGUGGGGAGGCUGGGAUUGGGCCUCUGUCAAGAGGAGGCUGGGAUCGGGCCUCCGUCGGGGCGGAGGCUGGGAUCGGGCCUCUGUCAAGGUGGAGGCUGGGAUCGGGCCUCCGUCGGGGCGGAGGCUGGGAUCGGGCCUCCGUCGGGGCGGAGGCUGGGAUCGGGCCUCCGUCGGGGCAGAGGCUGGGAUCGGGCCUCCGUCAGGGUGGAGGUCGAGCACAAUUCAGUUAAUCCCGCAUUGAGCACCAUCAGACCUCGACAGCUUUAAAACAGUUGAACGCGUUGUUGCCUCCUUGCUCGUGAAGGAGUGAAUGCAGCGCCCCCUGAGCAGAGUGACGCGACCCGCGCGGGUUCACCCCGCAACAUGCUAAUAUGCUAACACCACAUUUCCGACGGUUGGCGGGCGCGGCGGGACAAAGGAGGCCGAGUGGACAUGUUUAACUGGGACGUAGAGAGCGGGUCGACUGGUUAAACUGGUUUAGGACUUUCCGCUGCCAGUUCUUAGAUCACAGAUUAAUUCCCAGAAAAAUAUGGCCGACAUCUUCUGUCCGUCAACUUUGAGGCCUGUGAAACGAGCGGCUGUCAAUGUGUGCGUGCGUUGUGUAUGCACAUCCUGAGACAAAGAUUUAAGAGCUGCCCUGUGUGUGUGUGUGUGUGUGUGUGUGUGUGUGUGUGUGUGUGUGGCAGACUGGUGUUAGCAUACCAAAGCCUUGUGUUUCCAUUAAGAUGUGGCUGCUCCAGUCAGGCCUCUGUGCCUCUGCCAAGCCUCACACACACACACACACACACACACACACACACACACACACACACACACAGUAUGGGGGGGGGGGCAGUGGUAUUUUCAUUGAGGAUGAACAGAGGUUCACAGAGGAAGUGUGGGAUUACAUCUACACUCGUAGGUAUGUUCCACGCCACCGUGGAGAUUAAUGUACGAUUAGGAAACACACGUCGUCAUGGUGACGCCGACAGUCUGUUGACUGGUGUUUUAACACCGUGAGACAUUUUUAGUUGUCGCCAUAUUUUUGGUCAACAGGAAGUGACACUAUCUGGUCUGAGGAGGAGUCGCGUAGGUGAUGCUGUACUUCUCUGGCAGAGACCUGUCAAUCGGCGUGUGGCCCCGCCCUAAAGCAUCCCCUCCUUUAUAGUCUGUUUGAUUCUAAAUGGACCAUCAUCUUCUAAAUGAACAUCAUGCUGUAUUGAAGAAGACUUGAGACUGAGACCAUAAACCCGUUUACAAUGUUUACUGAGGGAAUAAACCAAGAGAGUAAUUUUCUCAUAGACUUCUAUGGGACCAGAGGAGUCGCCCUCUGGUGGCCAUUAGGGACAAUGCAGCUAUAUCACACUUCUCCAUUGGCUUCUCUCUUAAGAACAUACUUUCAGAAUAUAGAAUAUAUUGACGGAUCAACACUAGAAAGGAAUAACAUGCCCUCCGUUGUGUGAAAGCUUUUUUAUUCAGGACAUUUUGGCCAGAAGCCGCCGACCCAGAAACAAACCCACCGAGAGAAGACGCUGCCGAAACAGAGGACGGGACCGGGCUGCUGAAUCUUUCACAAGUUUCAUUUUAUUGGUGUACUUUGACAAGAACAAUGAUGGUAUAAAAGAAAAAUCUCCAUCAUACAAAUUUCAAUAAUCAAAAGAUAAUAUGCCGAUACACAAACAGACCACGUAAGGCUGACAUCAAGCUCCGACCAGUGGCUUCAAAUGGCUUCAGUUCAAGGAGAGCGACUCCUUACAAUCAGAGAAGAUGUACACUUUAAAUUUAGCAUCCUUGUUAAGUUAGCUUCCAUACAAAAGAAUGAACUGGUGU
This is a long non-coding RNA of Gasterosteus aculeatus aculeatus (three-spined stickleback), 2219 nucleotides long. The record is from Ensembl. NCBI's taxonomy places the organism in Eukaryota, Metazoa, Chordata, Actinopteri, Perciformes, Gasterosteidae.